RNAcentral lists this small nucleolar RNA (144 nucleotides) under Echinops telfairi (small Madagascar hedgehog). RNAcentral describes it as "Small nucleolar RNA SNORA44 (ENSETEG00000025896.1)". It matches the Rfam family "Small nucleolar RNA SNORA44". Rfam says of the family: ACA44 is a member of the H/ACA class of snoRNA that guide the sites of modification of uridines to pseudouridines. The record is from RNAcentral. Lineage: Eukaryota; Metazoa; Chordata; Mammalia; Afrosoricida; Tenrecidae.
GGGAAUGGUAUCAAGAGCCAUGGAAGGUCAGAGGAGGGAGCACUCGGCAAAGACUUUGUGGAAGCAUGGAAGAGCAUCUUGGAGAGGCUUUGAGGGCCCAGGUCAGCAGAGUAUCUGCAGCUGCCACUCGCCUUCCCUAUAAAA